RNA transcript from Dioscorea cayenensis subsp. rotundata (Guinea yam), 3961 nucleotides. It is a transcript of the gene named putative disease resistance protein RGA1, with no coding region annotated. The transcript is spliced from 3 exons. The record is from RefSeq and is a predicted model, not a curated record. Lineage: Eukaryota; Viridiplantae; Streptophyta; Magnoliopsida; Dioscoreales; Dioscoreaceae.
AGAGCAGAGGUCGUCAAGCCAGCGCGGGCGAACACGGCCCUGCGCAAAGAGAGAAAUCUGCUGGUUGAGGCUGCCGAAGUGGGCAAGGCUGUCGGCCACACAAUUGAAGUCGCGAGAAACGUGUUCCCAGGAGAAGUCAGGCCAUAGACUUGGAAGACUCGGAAGAGCAAGGGUUGACAUUGUAUUCUUUUUUCCAUCAAUGUAUUAUUAUUAAAAAAAGUUGCAAGUAAUACUUAGCUUCGAGAAAUUGCUAGCCAAACAAGAAGAAAAAAAAAAUUGCCAUGGUUGUGGAUGCAUUUGGAGGAAAGCUUGUGGAGAGGUUGAUCAACCUCGCCGAAGAGAAGGCCAUCCUAGUUCUCGGAGUGAAGACCGAGCUCCACAAGCUCCGGCGAAGGAUGGAGAAGAUUACCCGUGUUCUCAAGGAUGCAGAGAGGAGGAGAAUCCAAGACCCUGCCAUCAAUGCUUGGGUCACUGAGCUCAAGCAUUUCAUGUAUGAUGCUGAUGAUCUGAUUGAUCUUUGCUUGAUUCAAGGUAGUAAGCUCUUGGCAGAUCAACCAAGCAAGUCCUAUGAUCUCAAUUUUCAGUUCAAAUUUCCAUUUUUUCCUUGUUGUCAUAGUGUGCCACUUCGAUAUGAGAUUGCUAGCAGAGUUAAGAGACUGACUGGUAGGUUAGAGGAGAUUUCAAAGGAUAAGGAGUCAUUCAAUCUUGUUGAAUAUAAAUUGAAUACUUUGGAUGUUGUUAGUGAGGUUGGUUCUCAACAUAGUUCUGAUUCAUUGCCUGAACCUGACGUUGUUGGAUGGGGGAUUAGAGAUGCAACUAGGAAACUUGUUGAGCUCUUGGUUGGUGAGGGUGAGCAAAAAUGCCGGCUUUUUGCGAUUGUCGGCAUGGGAGGAAUAGGAAAGACUACGCUUGCGCAGAUUGUGUAUGACAAUUACAGCAUACAGGAUAGUUUUGUUCUUCGGUCUUGGGUUUCCGUUUCAAAACAUUGUUCUUCAGAGGUUGAACUGCUGAAAGUGAUCAUAAGAAACAUUGGAGGUAGUUAUGGGGAUGUAACAACAACCGGGGAGCUUAAACUAAUUCUUAGAAGUGAGCUUGUUGGGAAGAGCUUUUUUCUUGUGUUGGAUGAUGUAUGGCAGGCAAAUGUAUGGGUUGAUUUGCUCAAAAAUACGAUACAGAGCGCAGCUGCUAAAGUUGGGAUUUUGGUUACCACUAGAGAUGAAAAUAUUGCUAAGAAAAUGGGUGUAGUGCACAUGCAUAAUGUUAGCAAAUUGCCUGUUGAUUCUGGUUGGGAGUUGCUUUGCAAGAAAGUUUUUGUCAAUAGAGAUGGAGCAGAAAUGCAUAAAUUGAGGGAUAUAGGUAUCCAAAUCGUUACGAAAUGUGAUGGUCUUCCCCUCGCAAUCAAGACCAUUGCUGGUGUUCUAAUCAUGAAAAAUCCAACUACUAGAGAAUGGGAAAAGGUUCUUAAUAGUGAUGCUUGGACUGUUGGUGGGCUUCCGGAAGAACUUCAAGGAGCGUUAUACUUGAGCUAUGAGGACUUACCUUCUGCUCUGAAGCAUUGUUUCCUCCACUGUUCUCUGAUUCCUCCAGACCGUGCUCUCCGUCGGAUUGACCUUGCUUAUGAAUGGAUUGCUGAAGGUUACGUGCAAGCAAAAGGAAAUGUAUCUUUGGAGGAGGUCGCCGAUGAGUAUUACAUGGAAUUGAUAAGGAGGAGUUUCUUGCAACCUGAUCUUAAUGAUGAUUAUCUGAGUGAAUGCACAAUGCAUGAAUUGUUGCGAACUCUUGCUCAGUUUCUAGCAUGUGAUGAAAGCUUUUCAGGAGAUCCACAAGAAGCAAAUAUCAACAGCUCAAUGACAAAACUGCGCCGCCUUUCAAUAUCAAGUAGCAGAGAGAUUGUGGGUCUUCCACCAGUGAUUGUAAAACAGAAUUGCCUUAGAACUCUGAUGCUAUUCAGUACCCCACCAAGUUUGGAUAUGCAUAUUCUUGGAAGACUCUCAUAUGUGCGGGUAUUGAUACUUAAUGGAAAAAAGAUUGAUCGAGUCCCUGAUAAUAUUGGAGAAUUCAUACACUUAAGGCUUCUGGAUCUCAAAUUCACAGGCAUACAUGAGUUGCCGGACUCUAUAGGAAGCCUCACAAGCUUGGAGUUCUUGAAUCUUGAAGAUUGUGAAUCUUUGCACACCAUUCCUGAGAGCAUCGCUAAAUUAUGCAACCUAAGGUGUCUUCGUCUUAAAGGUACUCCUCUGAGCCAUGUGCCAAAUGGAAUAGGCAAGCUUGAACAUCUCAGUUAUUUAAACGGAUUUGUCAUUGGAUCUGGUGGUGAUGGAGAAAGGCCACAAGAGGGACACAACUUAGAAGAGCUGCAGUCACUCAAGAACCUCAGAAUCCUUCAUAUAAGCAGUUUAGAGAUGGCGUUGAGUGGGGCUUCUGUGCUUUCGAACAAACCUCACCUAAGACAAUUAAUGCUGCAUUGCACGGUCAGAAAUACUAUACAGUUACACACUGUGCAGGAGACUAAUAGAAUUGAGCAAGUGUUUGAUAAGUUAUCUCCUCCAUCAUCCUUAGAGAAACUAGUCAUUGAUGGCUUCUUUGGUUCUAGGUAUCCAAAGUGGAUGUCCUCUACAAUGAUUAGUACUUCUCUCAUCGAUUUGACAAUUUUGCACCUUAUGAACUGUAUCUCAUGCCCCCAGCUUCCCCCGCUUGGCCAGCUGCCUGAAUUGAAUUAUCUAAAAGUUGGCAAUGCUUCUGCCAUAGUAUCUAUUGGCAGUGAAUUUUUUGGCAGUGGUGUGAAAGAUGGAAAUGGAAAACCUCAAACUGCAUUUCCUAGCCUUGAGUACCUUAUCUUUGAUGAUAUGCCUAACUUGGAGGAAUGGUCAUUUAGUGGACAAAAUAGUGAGGAAUCAAGCAAGAUGGUUACCUUUGGUCAUCUCAGACAAGUCAGCCUUCACAUUUGCCCAAAACUAAAAGCUCUGCCAAGAGGCUUAAAUCAGGUGAACAUGCAUAGGUUGUACAUUGAAGGUGCCCACAGCCUGACGACAGUGGAGAACUUUCCAAAUCUAACUGAAUGGCUGCAAGUCAUUAACAAUCAUCGGCUUGCACAGGUUUCCAAUCUUCCUGCUUUGAGAGCUCUGAUUGUGCGUGAUUGCCCCAUGCUUCAGUGUGUGGAGAAGCUUGACUCUCUAUUACGGCUACAGCUGAUUGAUACAAUGAGCAGCAGUCUCCCAGAGUGGCUAAUCACUUUUCUCCGAGAGCGACAGCAGGCUCAUGAUGAUUGGUUCCAACUAGAUUUGGAUUGCACUGUCCAAGCAUUAAAGGGAUUUAUUAAAGGUUGUCCAGGAUGGUCUAUCCUUGAGCAAGUGCCUCAGGUGGUGGCCUAUGCAGAAAAUAAAAGCAAGUAUUUGUUAUACACAAAGGAGCCAUUUUCCUACAAAACGAACCUUGAAGAUUGAUGAAUGCAGUUGUUGAUUAUGGAGGUGAUGAAGAAGCCAUCAGUGAGAAACGAAGUUCAAGAAAAUGCUGUAGAUGAUAGUAACACGUGAUUCCAUCUCAUGACAAGCAUAUUUCCAAGGCAAGGUUCUCCCUGCUAGACUAUGGAUUGUUGAAGAUUACAAUAAAGCAAUGGAAACAAACUGAUUGAGUGGUGCAAUGCUAGAUUUGUUGUGAAGCCUUGCUCAGUUUAUAGUAUGUGACCACAGUUCCUAGUUCCCCGUUCGAUGUCAAGCAGUAAAAAGGUUUUCCCCCUAAUAUGACUUUAGAGCAGAAUUGCUUAAAAAUUAAGGUAUUUUUAACUUCCCUCCAAGUUUGGUUACAUGUUUUCUUGGAAAACUUUCAGACUGCAGCUGUUGAUCCUUUUUUCUUUUGGGUCAAGGGAGAGGUGUGCGUUAGCUGAUCAACAAAAACAGUAAGAGGAUGAAACAGAGCUUAGAAACUAAACCCAUUUCUUGUGUAUCCUCCUGCAGCUAUUGUG